GACGAGGGGUCCUAGCGUUGUUCGGAAUCACUGGGCGUAAAGAGUAUGUAGGCGGCCUUGCAAGUCAGGUGUGAAAUCCCACGGCUCAACCGUGGAAUUGCAUUUGAAACUGCAGGGCUUGAAUAUGGAAGAGGGCAGUAGAAUUCCUGGUGUAGUGGUGAAAUACGUAGAUAUCAGGAGGAAUACCGGUGGCGAAGGCGGCUGCCUGGUCCAAUAUUGACGCUGAGAUACGAAAGUGUGGGGAUCAAACAGG
This 253-nucleotide ribosomal RNA is filed under the name uncultured bacterium. RNAcentral describes it as "partial 16S ribosomal RNA". It matches the Rfam family "Bacterial small subunit ribosomal RNA", at positions 524 to 776 of the family's 1533-position model. The record is from RNAcentral.